AUAGCUUAGUUGGAAGAGCACUUGCUUAGCAAGCAGGAAGCCCUGGGUUCCAUCCCAGU
This 59-nucleotide transfer RNA is filed under the name Mesocricetus auratus (golden hamster). It matches the Rfam family "tRNA", at positions 7 to 64 of the family's 71-position model. Rfam says of the family: Transfer RNA (tRNA) molecules are approximately 80 nucleotides in length. Their secondary structure includes four short double-helical elements and three loops (D, anti-codon, and T loops). Lineage: Eukaryota; Metazoa; Chordata; Mammalia; Rodentia; Cricetidae. The record is from Rfam by way of RNAcentral.